This 474-nucleotide long non-coding RNA is filed under the name Bos indicus x Bos taurus (hybrid cattle). Its description in RNAcentral is "lncRNA (ENSBIXG00000024799.1)". The record is from RNAcentral. Lineage: Eukaryota; Metazoa; Chordata; Mammalia; Artiodactyla; Bovidae.
GAUGUAUUUGGACACAUCCUAGGAGUUGACCAGUAGUGUGCACCCCAGCUAUGGAACAGAGAUCAGAAGAGGACUGGCCUUGGAGCUGCUCCUCUCCGUGGAAAUGUUUACAGCCGGUGAAACUGGGGGUGCUGAGGGCAUAGCAGUGGAGAGUGGCGACCCUACCCCUCUCCAUCAGCUGAUUCCGCUCCUGCCUUGGCUCCUAGUGGCAUCAGAGGUCACCAGGGAAAUGGAUAGAUCUGAUGUGCUUUGGUGGAAAGGGAGCUGGACUCUCAGUGAUGAAGUUUAGUGCUUUGAGUUUUAUGUGUGAACCCUGCCACUCCUUUGCUAUGUGAGAGACUGAAGAAUUGGUGAGAAAAAAAAAUAAGAAAGAAAUAAGGGUAAGAUAAUGAAAUUCUGUCUGUCCUUACCUUAUGAUUUAUAUAGAGCUUUCUGUCUGUUGAAAAGCUUCUAGAAAAAGAUAGAUAUGAGCUG